Molecule: small nucleolar RNA, 133 nt
Organism: Equus asinus (donkey)
Lineage: Eukaryota; Metazoa; Chordata; Mammalia; Perissodactyla; Equidae
Source: Ensembl
CUGCAUCUAUUUGAUAUACUCACAACAGUUAAUGUCUACUGCUAAAGUUUCCACUACAGAUGCAAGAAAAAGUGUCCUCAUGCUGUCUGUCUGUCUGAUUGUGGCAGCCAAGAUUGAACGUUGGAAUACAGGA